This 389-nucleotide ribosomal RNA is filed under the name uncultured bacterium. Its description in RNAcentral is "bacterial SSU rRNA". It matches the Rfam family "Bacterial small subunit ribosomal RNA", at positions 28 to 417 of the family's 1533-position model. The record is from RNAcentral.
GACGAACGCUGGCGGCGUGCUUAACACAUGCAAGUCGAGCGGUAAGGCCCUUUCGGGGGUACACGAGCGGCGAACGGGUGAGUAACACGUGGGCGACCUACCCUCAGCUUCGGGAUAAGCCUGGGAAACUGGGUCUAAUACCGGAUAUGACCUUCCCUCGCAUGGGGGUUGGUGGAAAGUUUUUUUCGGCUGGGGAUGGGCCCGCGGCCUAUCAGCUUGUUGGUGGGGUGAUGGCCUACUAAGGCGACGACGGGGUAGCCGGCCUGAGAGGGCGACCGGCCACACUGGGACUGAGAUACGGCCCAGACUCCUACGGGAGGCAGCAGUGGGGAAUAUUGCGCAAUGGGCGGAAGCCUGACGCAGCGACGCCGCGUGGGGGAUGACGGCCU